CAGCCGCCACGGUAAUACGUAGGGCGCAAGCGUUGUCCGGAAUUAUUGGGCGUAAAGAGCUCGUAGGCGGUCUGUCGCGUCUGGUGUGAAAUCCCGAGGCUCAACCUCGGGCUUGCAUCGGGUACGGGCAGACUAGAGUGCGGUAGGGGAGACUGGAAUUCCUGGUGUAGCGGUGGAAUGCGCAGAUAUCAGGAGGAACACCGAUGGCGAAGGCAGGUCUCUGGGCCGCAACUGACGCUGAGGAGCGAAAGCAUGGGGAGCGAACAGGAUUAGAUACCCCUGUAGUCCCUGUCUCUUAUAA
Molecule: ribosomal RNA, 301 nt
Filed under: uncultured bacterium
Lineage: Bacteria
Description: partial 16S ribosomal RNA
Rfam family: Bacterial small subunit ribosomal RNA
Source: RNAcentral